RNAcentral lists this RNase P RNA (247 nucleotides) under Rhodospirillales bacterium CG15_BIG_FIL_POST_REV_8_21_14_020_66_15. RNAcentral's name for it is "partial RNase P RNA component class A". It matches the Rfam family "Bacterial RNase P class A", at positions 1 to 235 of the family's 367-position model. From Rfam's summary of the family: Ribonuclease P (RNase P) is a ubiquitous endoribonuclease, found in archaea, bacteria and eukarya as well as chloroplasts and mitochondria. Lineage: Bacteria; Pseudomonadati; Pseudomonadota; Alphaproteobacteria; Rhodospirillales. The record is from RNAcentral.
CCAGACGGCUGGACGGCCGCCUCUUGCUACGGCGAAAGCUGCAAGGGGAGGAAAGUCCGGGCUCCACGGAGACACGGUGCCGGGUAAUGCCCGGCGGGCGCGAGCCCAGGGAAAGUGCCACAGAAAGCAAACCGCCCUGCGAAGCCUCGGCGAAGCAGGGUAAGGGUGAAAGGGUGCGGUAAGAGCGCACCGCGUCCUUGGCAACAAGGACGGCACGGUAAACCCCACCGGGAGCAAAACCGAAUAG